CUGCAGCCCGAGUGGUGGUCGAUUUUAUUGAGCCUAAAGCGUCCGUGGCCGGACUAGUAAACCCUUGGGUAAAUUGGGCAGCUUAACUGUCCAAAUUCCGAGGGGACUGCUAGUCUUGGGACCGGGAGAGGUCAGAGGUACUCAAGGGGUAGGGGCUAGAUCCUGUAAUCCUUUGGGGACCACCAGUGGCGAAGGCGUCUGACUAGAACGGAUCCGACGGUAAGGGACGAAACCCUGGGGCGCGAACCGGAUUAGAUACCCGAGUAGUCC
Molecule: ribosomal RNA, 270 nt
Filed under: uncultured archaeon
Lineage: Archaea
Description: partial 16S ribosomal RNA
Rfam family: Archaeal small subunit ribosomal RNA
Source: RNAcentral